The submitters of this non-coding RNA (160 nucleotides) gave its source as unclassified sequences. The record is from Rfam.
UUUGUUUGAGGCUUACUCUUAGACUUUUCUUUAGUAAUCCAGCUAUCCACAGACAUGGAUGUCUGUGGAAGUCAGAUAUGGAACAAGGAGGUUCCGUAUCUGACGGUAGCGGUCAUAAUCAUAACCUAUAUGAAAAGUCUUAGAAAUAUCCACUUAAAUC